This 429-nucleotide ribosomal RNA is filed under the name Verrucomicrobiota bacterium. RNAcentral's name for it is "Verrucomicrobia bacterium partial 16S ribosomal RNA". It matches the Rfam family "Bacterial small subunit ribosomal RNA", at positions 355 to 776 of the family's 1533-position model. The record is from RNAcentral. Lineage: Bacteria; Pseudomonadati; Verrucomicrobiota.
UGGGGAAUCUUCCGCAAUGGACGAAAGUCUGACGGAGCAACGCCGCGUGAGUGAUGACGGUCUUCGGAUUGUAAAGCUCUGUUAAUCGGGACGAAUGGUUUGUGUGCAAAUAGUGCAUAGACAUGACGGUACCGGAAUAGAAAGCCACGGCUAACUACGUGCCAGCAGCCGCGGUAAUACGUAGGUGGCAAGCGUUGUCCGGAAUUAUUGGGCGUAAAGCGCGCGCAGGCGGACUAGCCAGUCAGUCUUAAAAGUUCGGGGCUUAACCCCGUGAUGGGAUUGAAACUACUAGUCUAGAGUAUCGGAGAGGAAAGUGGAAUUCCUAGUGUAGCGGUGAAAUGAGUAGAUAUUAGGAAGAACACCAGUGGCGAAGGCGACUUUCUGGACGAACACUGACGCUGAGGCGCGAAAGCCAGGGGAGCGAACGGG